GCAUAUCAAUAAGCGGAGGAAAAGAAACUAACAAGGAUUCCCCUAGUAACGGCGAGCGAAACGGGAAUAGCCCAACUUGAAAAUCUCCCUUUGGAGAAUUGUAGUCUAGAGAAGCGCCCUCUGAGGCGGGUGGAGCCCAAGUUCGCUGGAAGGCGACGUCAGAGAGGGUGAGAACCCCGUCGGCUCUUUCCUUAGUCUCCCCACGAGGUGCUUUCCAAGAGUCGGGUUGUUUGGGAAUGCAGCCCAAAAUUGGUGGUAAAUCCCAUCUAAGGCUAAAUAUUGGCGAGAGACCGAUAGCGAACAAGUACCGUGAGGGAAAGAUGAAAAGAACUUUGAAAAGAGAGUUAAAAAGUGCUUGAAAUUGUUGAGGGGGAAGCGUUUGGAAGCUGUGUGUGCGCCUAGGCUUAUGCGUCUCUAACGAGCCGCUGUAUGUGCUAGGUGCUGGUCAGCAUGGGUUAGCUUGGCAGGAUAAAAGCUAGGGUUGUUACCUAGUCUAUGCUGCCGAGCUGACCAAGGUGUGAAGAGUGCCUUGUCCUUCGGGAUCUGCGCUCUCAAGAUGCUGGCAGAAGGCUUUCAACCGGCCCGUCUUGAAACACGGACCAAGGAGUUCAACAUGUAUGCGAGUUGGUGGGUGGAAAACCCAUGAAGCGCAAGUAAACUGACUGGUGGGAUGGCCUGUGCCUGCACCAUCGACCGACCAUGAGCUUCUGCGAAAGGUUUGAGUGCGAGCAUACCUGUUGGGACCCGAAAGAUGGUGAACUAUGCCUGAGCAGGGCGAAGCCAGAGGAAACUCUGGUGGAGGCUCGUANAUGUGCUGACGUGCAAAUCGCUUUUCGGACUUGGGUAUAGGGGCGAAAGACUAAUCGAACCAUCUAGUAGCUGGUUCCCUCCGAAGUUUCCCCCANGAUAGCUGGAGCUUGAUCAGUUUUAUCGGGUAAAGCGAAUGAUNAGAAGUUCGGGGGAUGAAACAUCCUUCACCUAUUCUCAAACUUUAAAUAGGUAAGACGUCUAGGUUGNUUGAUUGAACCUAGGCAAUCAAUGUGAGCUCCAAGUGGGCCAUUUUUGGUAAGCAGAACUGGCGAUGCGGGAUGAACCGAUAGCUGAGUUAAGGUGCCCAACUACGCGCUAACCUAGAUCCCACAAAGGGUGUUGAUUGAUAUAGACAGCAGGACGGUGGUCAUGGAAGUCGAAAUCCGCUAAGGAGUGUGUAACAACUCACCUGCCGAAUCAAUUAGCCCCGAAAAUGGAUGGCGCUGAAGCGCGUGACCUAUACUCAGCCAUGGAGGCAAGUGCGAAGCUUCCAUGAGUAAGAGGGCGUGGGUGUCGUUGCGCAGCCUGAGGCGUGAGCCUGGGUGAAACGGCAUCUAGUGCAGAUCUUGGUGGUAGUAGCAAAUAUUCAAAUGAGAACUUUGAAGACUGAAAUGGGGAAAGGUCCAUGUGAACAGCAAUUGGACAUGGGUUAGUCCAUCCUAAGAGAUGGGGUAAUCCUGUGUAAAGAGCGCGAUUCGCGCUGCCCAUCGAAAGGGAAAAGGGUUAAGAUUCCCUUACCUGGACAGGGCGGCUGACGGUAACGUAAGCGAGCCUGGAGACAUCGGCAUUGGCCCUAGGAAGAGUUCUCUUUUCUUUUUAACAGCUCGAAGGCCCUGGAAUCGAAUCAUUCGGAGAUAGGGCUCAGAAGCUGGUAAAGCACCGCACUUCUCGCGGUGUCUGGCGCGCCAAUGACGGUCCUUGAAAAUCCAGGGGANCGAUUACCGAUCCUGCCANGUCCUACUCAUUNCCGCAUCANGUCUCCAACGUGAACAGCCUCUAGUCGAUAGAACAAUGUAGAUAAGGGAAGUCGGCAAAAUGGAUCCGUAACUUCGGGAAAAGGAUUGGCUCUGAGGGUUGGGCCUAGGGGUCUGCGCUCAGAAGCCAAGGACUGUCGGCGGUCUGCCCGAGCUGCCUCAAGCGGCGAGGGCGGACCACUGCGUGUCUUUGGUGGACGGGCGUAGAAAGCUUCGGCGUUCCCUAGGCGACGAACAACCGACUCAGAACUGGUACGGACAAGGGGAAUCCGACUGUUUAAUUAAAACAAAGCAUUGUGAUGGUCCUAAAGGAUGUUGACACAAUGUGAUUUCUGCCCAGUGCUCUGA
Molecule: ribosomal RNA, 2132 nt
Filed under: Staurocarteria crucifera
Lineage: Eukaryota; Viridiplantae; Chlorophyta; Chlorophyceae; Chlamydomonadales; Chlamydomonadaceae
Description: eukaryotic LSU rRNA
Rfam family: Eukaryotic large subunit ribosomal RNA
Source: RNAcentral